AUGCAAGUCGAACGCUUCUUUCCUCCCGAGUGCUUGCACUCAAUUGGAAAGAGGAGUGGCGGACGGGUGAGUAACACGUGGGUAACCUACCCAUCAGAGGGGGAUAACACUUGGAAACAGGUGCUAAUACCGCAUAACAGUUUAUGCCGCAUGGCAUAAGAGUGAAAGGCGCUUUCGGGUGUCGCUGAUGGAUGGACCCGCGGUGCAUUAGCUAGUUGGUGAGGUAACGGCUCACCAAGGCCACGAUGCAUAGCCGACCUGAGAGGGUGAUCGGCCACACUGGGACUGAGACACGGCCCAGACUCCUACGGGAGGCAGCAGUAGGGAAUCUUCGGCAAUGGACGAAAGUCUGACCGAGCAACGCCGCGUGAGUGAAGAAGGUUUUCGGAUCGUAAAACUCUGUUGUUAGAGAAGAACAAGGACGUUAGUAACUGAACGUCCCCUGACGGUAUCUAACCAGAAAGCCACGGCUAACUACGUGCCAGCAGCCGCGGUAAUACGUAGGUGGCAAGCGUUGUCCGGAUUUAUUGGGCGUAAAGCGAGCGCAGGCGGUUUCUUAAGUCUGAUGUGAAAGCCCCCGGCUCAACCGGGGAGGGUCAUUGGAAACUGGGAGACUUGAGUGCAGAAGAGGAGAGUGGAAUUCCAUGUGUAGCGGUGAAAUGCGUAGAUAUAUGGAGGAACACCAGUGGCGAAGGCGGCUCUCUGGUCUGUAACUGACGCUGAGGCUCGAAAGCGUNNGGAGCAAACAGGAUUAGNUACCCUGGUAGUCCACGCC
Molecule: ribosomal RNA, 775 nt
Filed under: Enterococcus faecalis
Lineage: Bacteria; Bacillati; Bacillota; Bacilli; Lactobacillales; Enterococcaceae
Description: bacterial SSU rRNA
Rfam family: Bacterial small subunit ribosomal RNA
Source: RNAcentral